CUACGGGACGCUCCAGUGGGGAAUAUUGCACAAUGGGCGCAAGCCUGAUGCAGCAACGCCGCGUGAGUGAUGAAGGCUUUCGAGUCGUAAAACUCUUUUCUUGAGGAAGAAACUUGACGGUACUCAAGGAAUAAGCCCCGGCUAAUUACGUGCCAGCAGCCGCGGUAAUACGUAAGGGGCAAGCGUUAUCCGGAAUCACUGGGCGUAAAGGGUGCGUAGGUGGUCUUGUAAGUCAGAAGUGAAAGGCUACGGCUUAACCGUAGUAAGCUUUUGAAACUGCAGGACUUGAGUGCAGGAGAGGAAAGUGGAAUUCCUAGUGUAGCGGUGAAAUGCGUAGAUAUUAGGAGGAACACCAGUGGCGAAGGCGACUUUCUGGACUGUAACUGACACUGAGGCACGAAAGCGUGGGGAGCGAACAGGAUUAGAUACCCGAGUAGUC
This 439-nucleotide ribosomal RNA is filed under the name uncultured bacterium. RNAcentral's name for it is "partial 16S ribosomal RNA". It matches the Rfam family "Bacterial small subunit ribosomal RNA", at positions 339 to 795 of the family's 1533-position model. The record is from RNAcentral.